AUGGGAAGCGGGGGCUGGGAACGGGGUGGUGGGAGAUGGGGGGAGGUGGUGGCCGAUGGUUGGGGGGUGGUGGUGGCCAACGGUGGUCGGUUGGUGGCCAACGGUGGUCGGUUGGUGGUGGUCAACGGUGGUUGGUUGGUGGCCAACGGCGGUCGGCUGGUAGCCAACGCUGCUCAGUCGGUGGCCAACAGAGGCUCUUUGGUGGCCAACGGUGGUCUCUCGGGUCGGUUGGCGGCCAACGAUGGUUGGUUGGUAGCCAACGGAGGCUCUUUGAUGGCCAACUGUGGUCACUUGGGUUGGUUGGUGGUCAACGAUGGUUGGUUGGUAGCCAGUGCUGAUCAGUUGGUGGCCAACAACAGUUGGUUGGUAGCCAGUGCUGAUCAGUUGGUGGCCAACGGUGACCACUUGGGACAUUUGGUGGCCAACGGCGGUCGGUUGGUGGCCAAUGGAGGCUCUUUGGUGGCCGAAAGCGGUCGAUUGGUGGCCAACGGUGGUUCCUUGGUGGCUUCUGGUGGUCACUGGGGUUGGUGGGUGGCCACUGGUGGCCAAUAUGGUUGUUUGGUGGCCAGGGUUGAGCUGUUGGUGGCCCACUUGGGGGUCGCCGUGGUUGGGGACUCUGGUGGUCACUUGGGGGUCUUCGGUGGCCACUUGGGGGUCUUUGGUAGUCACCGGGGCCGUGGGGUGGCCCAUGGUGGCCAGCAGGGAUGGUUGGAGGGCGACGGCCAGGAGGACAAAGAUGGCGGCUGGAGGGAGAGCCAUGGGGCUGCCCCACAACUUAUGGGGCAGCUGUGGGGCACAGAGAAGGCGGUACUGUAGGGUGCGGCCCCAUAAAUGAGACGGCGCCCCAUAGAAGCACACAGCGCCCCAUAGCUGCCCCAUAGACCCCAUAGCUGCCCCAUAGCUGCCCCAUAGCUGCCCCAUAGAUCCAUUGGUGCCCCAUAGACCCCAUAGCUGCCCCAUAGAUCUGACUGUGCCCCAUAGCUGCCCCAUAGAUCUGACUCUGCCCCAUAGCUGCCCCAUAGAUCCAUUGGUGCCCCAUAGACCCCAUAACUGCCCCAUAGAUCUGACUCUGCCCCAUAGCUGCCCCAUAGAUCUGAUUCUGCCCCAUAGCUGCCCCAUAGAUCCAUUGGUGCCCCAUAGACACCACAGCUGCCCCAUAGACCUCACAGCUGCCCCAUAGAUCCAUAGCUGCCCCAUAGAUCUACUGGUGCCCCAUAGCUGCCCCAUAGACCCCAUAGCUGCUCCAUACAUCUGACUGUGCCCCAUAGCUGCCCCAUAGAACCUUACAGCGCCCCAUAGCUGCCCCAUAGACCCCAUAACUGCCCCAUAGAUCUGAUUGCGCCCCAUAGCUGCCCCAUAGAAGCUCACAGCGCCCCAUAGCUGCCCCAUAGACCCCAUAACUGCCCCAUAGACCCCACAGCUGCCCCAUAGAUCUGACUCUGCCCCAUAGCUGCCCCAUAGAACCUUACAGCGCCCCAUAGCUGCCCCAUAGAUCCAUUGCUGCCCCAUAGAUCUACUGGUGCCCCAUAGCUGCCCCAUAGAUCUGACUGUGCCCUAUAGCUGCCCCAUAGAACCCAACAGCACCCCAUAGCUGCCCCAUAGCUGCCCCAUAACUGCCCCAUAGAUCCAUUGGUGCCCCAUAGACCCCAUUUCUGCCCCAUAGAUCUGACAGUGCCCCAUAGCUGCCCCAUAGCUGCCCCAUAGAUCCAUUGGUGCCCCAUAGACCCCACAGCUGCCCCAUAGAUCCAUUGCUGCCCCAUAGAUCUACUGGUGCCCCAUAGCUGCCCCAUAGACCCCAUUUCUGCCCCAUAGACUC
RNAcentral lists this long non-coding RNA (1816 nucleotides) under Phasianus colchicus (ring-necked pheasant). RNAcentral describes it as "lncRNA (ENSPCLG00000013958.1)". Lineage: Eukaryota; Metazoa; Chordata; Aves; Galliformes; Phasianidae. The record is from RNAcentral.